RNAcentral lists this long non-coding RNA (740 nucleotides) under Homo sapiens (human). RNAcentral describes it as "HSALNT0341768". The record is from RNAcentral. Lineage: Eukaryota; Metazoa; Chordata; Mammalia; Primates; Hominidae.
UAUUACCUUGCAUAUGAAAACUGUUUCAAAUUUUCCCCAGGCUCCAUAUGAAAGCACUUGAAUCCCUCCAGUUUAUCUCAGUGCCUUAGACUGGAUCUUCUAGAAACAGAGAAUUCCAGGUAGAAGGUUUAUUGGAGAAUGCCCUCAGGAAAUAUACCUAAAGGAAGUGAAGAUGGAGGCAAGACUGGACAGAGGGAGAAGCUGACUCACAUUGCAGUUACAAGUGAGGCCUCAGCUUAUCCUACUUGGAGCCCUAGAGCUGAAUGAACUUCUAGAGUUGUUUUAAAUUGAGGUGAGGGACUGAGCCUGUGUAUUUAUUCCCCAUCAGCCAUUCAUUAUGCUUGCUGGCAGAGGGCAUAACCUUGAGUGAGGCACACUAUGAAAUGUCAGAAGCCUAUUUCCGCAACAGCUUGGAGAUGGAUGUGAAAUGAACUGCAGAUUCUGAGCGCAGUUUUACAAGCACAACUUGAGUCUGAGUUCUAGCUACUGCCCAGUUGUGUGACCUUGGCCAACACUGUGUUAGAUUAAUGGAAUCCUCACCGAAGUCCUCCGUCGAUUUGUGAGUUUGUAAGUAGAAGAGAAUUAAUUAAAUAACGAAAGAGUACAGAUGUCAAAAUUUGUAUUGUAUAAGCAACAGUUCUGCUAGGUAGAAUGUAUCAGGCAUCUUGCUUAACAAAUCCUUACAACAAAGGUUAAGAUACUCCGGGCCACUAAAAGCAACAGGGAGCUGUUGAUGCAAU